This 70-nucleotide transfer RNA is filed under the name Cricetulus griseus (Chinese hamster). It matches the Rfam family "tRNA". From Rfam's summary of the family: Transfer RNA (tRNA) molecules are approximately 80 nucleotides in length. Their secondary structure includes four short double-helical elements and three loops (D, anti-codon, and T loops). The record is from Rfam by way of RNAcentral. Lineage: Eukaryota; Metazoa; Chordata; Mammalia; Rodentia; Cricetidae.
GGCUGUAGCUCAGUGGUAGAGUGCUUGCCUAGCACACAUGAGGGCCUGGGUUCAAGCCCCAAUAAUGCCA